CAGCGGCGGACGGGUGAGUAACACGUGGGUAACCUGCCUGUAAGACUGGGAUAACUCCGGGAAACCGGGGCUAAUACCGGAUAACUCAGUUCCUCGCAUGAGGAACGGUUGAAAGGUGGCUUUUUGCUACCACUUACAGAUGGACCCGCGGCGCAUUAGCUAGUUGGUGAGGUAACGGCUCACCAAGGCGACGACGGGUAGCCGGCCUGAGAGGGUGAUCGGCCACACUGGGACUGAGACACGGCCCAGACUCCUACGGGAGGCAGCAGUAGGGAAUCUUCCGCAAUGGACGAAAGUCUGACGGAGCAACGCCGCGUGAGCGAAGAAGGCNUUCGGGUCGUAAAGCUCUGUUGUUAGGGAAGAACAAGUACCGUUCGAAUAGGGCGGUACCUUGACGGUACCUAACCAGAAAGCCACGGCUAACUACG
Molecule: ribosomal RNA, 428 nt
Filed under: uncultured bacterium
Lineage: Bacteria
Description: bacterial SSU rRNA
Rfam family: Bacterial small subunit ribosomal RNA
Source: RNAcentral